AUGGCAGGGAUGAACCUGCAUAGAAUCGCCUCUGCCCUUGUUCGAUUCAUUGGAUGGGAGAUCCGUCGAUCUGCCAGACGCCACAAUGCUGGUGUUCCUCGCCAUUGGGGCCCAGGCAACGGCCGCCGUGGUCGCCGUGGUCGUCAGGAUCACCCUGGCCCCGCUGCCGCAGAGCAGGCAGGACCAAGCAACCCAUCUGCCGCCGUCCAACACGCCUACCAGGAACCCCCGAUGCCGGCCUUCGUCGCUCCACCAAUGGACUGGGCUCCCGCCGAGGCUGCAGCGCUGUUCCUAGGCGAGGAGGAGUUCUUCGACGCCGCCUAG
RNAcentral lists this ribosomal RNA (324 nucleotides) under Triticum aestivum (bread wheat). RNAcentral's name for it is "partial small subunit ribosomal RNA". The record is from RNAcentral. Lineage: Eukaryota; Viridiplantae; Streptophyta; Magnoliopsida; Poales; Poaceae.